This 73-nucleotide transfer RNA is filed under the name Camelus ferus (Wild Bactrian camel). It matches the Rfam family "tRNA". Rfam says of the family: Transfer RNA (tRNA) molecules are approximately 80 nucleotides in length. The record is from Rfam by way of RNAcentral. Lineage: Eukaryota; Metazoa; Chordata; Mammalia; Artiodactyla; Camelidae.
GAGGGUGUAGCUCAAGUGGUAGAGCACAUGCUUAGCAUGCACAAGGUUCUAGGUUCAAUCCCUGGCAUCUCCU